This is a long non-coding RNA of Andrographis paniculata, 649 nucleotides long. RefSeq lists it as uncharacterized. The transcript has 2 exons. The record is from RefSeq and is a predicted model, not a curated record. Lineage: Eukaryota; Viridiplantae; Streptophyta; Magnoliopsida; Lamiales; Acanthaceae.
AAAAGCGAAAAUUAAAACACAGUGCACACAGUCGAUAUAUUACUUGAAAGCACAACGCUACCAAAAACGUUACCAAAAAACAGACAAACACAUCUUUACUACUUUCCGUACACGCUUCCAAAUUAGGGCAGCUCUGAAACAAUUCAAUGUGCUCCCGGCGCCUGGUGCAAGCAAACACAGGCGAGCCCGGGCCCAUGGGUCCAGCCCCGGGGACAGUACUAUUUAAGCACCGCACCGCCAUGGAUCCGAAUCAUAAAAAAUUAGGAGCUGAAGAGGUGAGCGGUUACCAGAAUUUUACACAUGGGCGACAAGGAGAGGGUGUUGGCGCGGCACGAAGCGAGCGGAACCUGUCCCCAUUGCGGCGGAAAAGUGGCGGCGGUGGACGUCCGCCGUCCUUGGCGCCUCUGCUUCGUCCCCGUCGGCUUUGUGGUGAAGCGGAGGUACGCCUGCACGCAGUGCUCCCGGCGAUUGGUCGUCGCCUAUUCGUAGCAUUUCGUGACUUACCGCUUGCACUGAGAACGGAGGGGAUUCGAGGGAGUUUGAGGGCCUGGUACCACUGGCAGCAUUGUUCUUAUAUUUUCUCGGUUGCAAAUGAAUGUAUGCUUUUAAUUUUUUUUAAUAAAUUAAAAAAAUAGUAGUAUUUUAUCAA